This 323-nucleotide ribosomal RNA is filed under the name uncultured eukaryote. Its description in RNAcentral is "partial 18S ribosomal RNA". It matches the Rfam family "Eukaryotic small subunit ribosomal RNA", at positions 1470 to 1796 of the family's 1831-position model. The record is from RNAcentral.
CCCUUAGAUGUUCUGGGCCGCACGCGUGCUACACUGAGUAAAUCAAUGGGUAAGGGAACACGAAAGUGCAACCUAAUCUUCAAAUUUGCUCGUGAUGGGGAUCGACGGUUGCAAUUUUCCGUCGUGAACGAGGAAUACCUUGUAGGCGCGUGUCAUCAUCACGCGCCGAAUACGUCCCUGCCCUUUGUACACACCGCCCGUCGCUCCUACCGAUUGAGUGAUCCGGUGAGGCUCUGGGACCGUGAGUCUGUUUGCUUCAUUGCGAGUGGAUUGAUGGGAACUUUUUUAAACCUCGCCAUUUAGAGGAAGGUGAAGUCGUAACA